CAGCAGCCGCGGUAAUACGUAGGUGGCAAGCGUUGUCCGGAAUUAUUGGGCGUAAAGGGCUCGCAGGCGGUUUCUUAAGUCUGAUGUGAAAGCCCCCGGCUCAACCGGGGAGGGUCAUUGGAAACUGGGAAACUUGAGUGCAGAAGAGGAGAGUGGAGUUCCACGUGUAGCGGUGAAAUGCGUAGAGAUGUGGAGGAACACCAGUGGCGAAGGCGACUCCCUGGUCUGUAACUGACGCUGAGGAGCGAAAGCGUGGGGAGCGAACAGGAUUAGAUACCCGAGUAGUCCCUGUCUCUUAUAC
Molecule: ribosomal RNA, 301 nt
Filed under: uncultured bacterium
Lineage: Bacteria
Description: partial 16S ribosomal RNA
Rfam family: Bacterial small subunit ribosomal RNA
Source: RNAcentral